UUUAAUCCCAGGACCCGGAAAGCAAAGGCAU
RNAcentral lists this non-coding RNA (31 nucleotides) under Mus musculus (house mouse). The record is from RNAcentral. Lineage: Eukaryota; Metazoa; Chordata; Mammalia; Rodentia; Muridae.